UUUUCUAACUUAAAUACCUGGAAGGAAGGCUGUCCCUUUGGCCAUUUCUGUUUAUGAAUAAAAAACUUAGCUUGCAAAACAAAAAGGUUCACUACAUAUUCCAAAGUGUUAUUAUCAGGAUUAUCAUAAUAAAAAAGAAAAUCUUUUACGCUAAGAGAGUAAGGUGGAUCAAAAAGGUGACUAUUUAAGUCACUGAGAAAUGUUUUAGUUUUCUCACAUUCAACGUAAGAAAGCUUUUUUGCACACCUGUUUUUGUUGGACAGGUGCGUAGGAUAUGAUCAAGAGUAGCAGAUCAAAAGCUUAGAGAAGAGUCCCACACACUGACCAUUACGCAAGCAAUAAUUUAUUUAAAAAAAUACAACCACAUGUGAGGAGUGC
This is a long non-coding RNA of Sander lucioperca (pikeperch), 378 nucleotides long. RefSeq lists it as uncharacterized. The transcript has 3 exons. The record is from RefSeq and is a predicted model, not a curated record. NCBI's taxonomy places the organism in Eukaryota, Metazoa, Chordata, Actinopteri, Perciformes, Percidae.